CCUACGGGAGGCAGCAGUGAGGAAUAUUGGUCAAUGGACGAGAGUCUGAACCAGCCAAGUAGCGUGAAGGAUGACUGCCCUAUGGGUUGUAAACUUCUUUUAUAAAGGAAUAAAACGAGGCACGUGUGCCUUUUUGCAUGUACUUUAUGAAUAAGGAUCGGCUAACUCCGUGCCAGCAGCCGCGGUAAUACGGAGGAUCCGAGCGUUAUCCAGAUUUAGUGGGUUUAAAGGGAGCGUAGAUGGGUUGUUAAGUCAGUUGUGAAAGUUUGCGGCUCAACCGUAAAAUUGCAAUUGAUACUGGCAGUCUUGAGUACAGUUGAGGUAGGCGGAAUUCGUGGUGUAGCGGUGAAAUGCUUAGAUAUCACGAAGAACCCCGAUUGCGAAGGCAGCUUACUAAACUGUGACUGACAUUGAUGCUCGAAAGUGUGGGUAUCAAACAGGAUUAGAUACCCUUGUAGUC
Molecule: ribosomal RNA, 460 nt
Filed under: uncultured bacterium
Lineage: Bacteria
Description: partial 16S ribosomal RNA
Rfam family: Bacterial small subunit ribosomal RNA
Source: RNAcentral